AGGAUUACGAUACUUUCUUCGUAUGAAAUGCUACAGCUGACUAAUGUUUUGAGGACUUCGGAUCACGCAGUGAAUUGACGUUGUGAAUUGUCUUGGGUGGACUCGCUUCAGUUAAGAACAUUCUGAACCUGGGAUACAAGUUGAACUCUUUUGAUUUAAUUGGGUUUUAGCUCACCUGAUGAAUUAAGGAACUCAUGCUAAAAGAAGAUACUAGUGACAUAUUUUCUUCGGGAUGUUCUCAGAGUUUCACAGGAAAAGAAUAUCAACAAAAGUGCGGUUAUACAUAUUUUGAAGUAUAUUGUCAGUCACUAUGCAACUGCUCGGGAAAAAAAGUGUGCUAUAGUACUGGCGCUGUGAAAGCAAGGGAAAGGAAUUGGGUUCUAUAAAUGAAGGAAUAUUGGGUGAUUUAAGACUGAUGUACCGUGUAUGUAGA
Molecule: long non-coding RNA, 433 nt
Organism: Saccostrea cuccullata (small rock oyster)
Lineage: Eukaryota; Metazoa; Mollusca; Bivalvia; Ostreida; Ostreidae
Exons: 3
Source: RefSeq, a predicted model, not a curated record